GUGGGGAAUUUGGGACAAUGGGCGCAAGCCUGAUCCAGCAAUGCCGCGUGCAGGAAGAAGGCCUUCGGGUUGUAAACUGCUUUUGUACGGAACGAAACGGUCCUGGUUAAUACCCGGGGCUAAUGACGGUACCGUAAGAAUAAGCACCGGCUAACUACGUGCCAGCAGCCGCGGUAAUACGUAGGGUGCAAGCGUUAAUCGGAAUUACUGGGCGUAAAGCGUGCGCAGGCGGUGCUGUAAGACAGGCGUGAAAUCCCCGGGCUUAACCUGGGAAUUGCGCUUGUGACUGCAGUGCUGGAGUGCGGCAGAGGGGGAUGGAAUUCCGCGUGUAGCAGUGAAAUGCGUAGAUAUGCGGAGGAACACCGAUGGCGAAGGCAAUCCCCUGGGCCUGCACUGACGCUCAUGCACGAAAGCGUGGGGAGCAAACAGGAUUAGAUACCCCAGUAGUCC
RNAcentral lists this ribosomal RNA (450 nucleotides) under uncultured bacterium. RNAcentral describes it as "partial 16S ribosomal RNA". It matches the Rfam family "Bacterial small subunit ribosomal RNA", at positions 354 to 796 of the family's 1533-position model. The record is from RNAcentral.